Molecule: ribosomal RNA, 449 nt
Filed under: uncultured Glomeromycotina
Lineage: Eukaryota; Fungi; Glomeromycota
Description: SSU rRNA
Rfam family: Eukaryotic small subunit ribosomal RNA
Source: RNAcentral
AGCAGCCGCGGUAAUUCCAGCUCCAAUAGCGUAUAUUAAAGUUGUUGCAGUUAAAAAGCUCGUAGUUGAAUUUCGGGGUCAGUAGAUUGGUCAUGCCACUGGUAUGUACUGGUCUCACUGAUUCCUCCUUCCUGAUGAGCCGUAAUGCCAUUAAUUUGGUGUUGCGAGGAAUCUGGACUGUUACUUUGAAAAAUUAGAGUGUUUAAAGCAGGCUAACGCUUGAAUACAUUAGCAUGGAAUAAUGAAAUAGGACGUUCGAUCUUAUUUUGUUGGUUUCUAAGAUUGACGUAAUGAUUAAUAGGGAUAGUUGGGGCAUUAGUAUUCAAUUGUCAGAGGUGAAAUUCUUGGGUUUAUUGAAGACUAACUACUGCGAAAGCAUUUGCCAAGGAUGUUUUCAUUAAUCAAGAACGAAAGUUAGGGGAUCGAAGACGAUCAGAUACCGUCGUAGU